UACAGAGGGUGCGAGCGUUAAUCGGAAUUACUGGGCGUAAAGGGCGCGUAGACGGCUAUGUAAGUUAGAUGUGAAAUCCCCGGGCUUAACCUGGGAAUGGCAUUUAAUACUGUAUAGCUAGAGUAGAGUAGAGGGAAGUAGAAUUUCCGGUGUAGCGGUGAAAUGCGUAGAUAUUGGAAAGAAUACCAGUGGCGAAGGCGGCUUUCUGGACUCAUACUGACGCUGAGGCGCGAAAGCAUGGGGAGCAAACAGG
Molecule: unclassified non-coding RNA, 253 nt
Filed under: uncultured Gammaproteobacteria bacterium
Lineage: Bacteria; Pseudomonadati; Pseudomonadota; Gammaproteobacteria
Description: contains 16S-23S intergenic spacer region
Rfam family: Bacterial small subunit ribosomal RNA
Source: RNAcentral